UUCGUUGUCAAAGCCUCUAGUGAACUUCCAUUGGUUGGAAACGUAGCACCGAAUUUCGAGGCUGAGGCUGUUUUCGAUCAAGAGUUUAUUAAGGUUAAACUAUCUGAAGAAAUAUGUGGUUCUAUUUUUCUAUCCAUUGGACUUCACAUUUGUUUGUCCCACAGAAAUCACUGCUUUUAGUGACCGUUAUGAGGUAUUCAAGCAGAUAAA
Populus euphratica (Euphrates poplar) is the source of this 210-nucleotide long non-coding RNA. RefSeq lists it as uncharacterized. The transcript has 4 exons. The record is from RefSeq and is a predicted model, not a curated record. Lineage: Eukaryota; Viridiplantae; Streptophyta; Magnoliopsida; Malpighiales; Salicaceae.